AAGCGGUGGAGCAUGUUAGGUUUAAUUCGAAGCAACGCGAAGAACCUUUACCAGGUUCUUGACAUCCCGAUGCUUAUUUCUAGAGAUAGAAAGUUACUUCGGUACAUCGGUGACAGGUGGUGCAUGGUUGUCGUCAGCUCGUGUCGUGAGAUGUUGGGUUAAGUCCCGCAACGAGCGCAACCCCUACGUUUAGUUGCUAACGCGUGAAGGCGAGCACUCUAGACGAACUGCCGUUGACAAAACGGAGGAAGGUGGGAUGACGUCAAAUCAUCAUGCCCCUUAUGUUCUGGGCUACACACGUGCUACAAUGGCCGGUACAGACGGACGCAAAGCCGCGAGGUGGAGCAAAUCCUAAAAAGCCGGUCUCAGUUCGGAUUGCAGGCUGCAAUUCGCCUGCAUGAAGUCGGAAUCGCUAGUAAUCGCAGGUCAGCAUACUGCGGUGAAUACGUUCCCGGGCCUU
RNAcentral lists this ribosomal RNA (460 nucleotides) under uncultured Pelotomaculum sp. RNAcentral's name for it is "bacterial SSU rRNA". It matches the Rfam family "Bacterial small subunit ribosomal RNA", at positions 927 to 1382 of the family's 1533-position model. The record is from RNAcentral. Lineage: Bacteria; Bacillati; Bacillota; Clostridia; Eubacteriales; Desulfotomaculaceae.